CCUACGGGCGGCUGCAGUGGGGAAUAUUGGACAAUGGGCGAAAGCCUGAUCCAGCCAUGCCGCGUGUGUGAAGAAGGCCUUCGGGUUGUAAAGCACUUUCAGUGGGGAAGAAAGCCUUGGGGCUAAUACCCUCGAGGAAGGACAUCACCCACAGAAGAAGCACCGGCUAACUCCGUGCCAGCAGCCGCGGUAAUACGGAGGGUGCGAGCGUUAAUCGGAAUUACUGGGCGUAAAGCGCGCGUAGGCGGUCUGAUAAGCCGGUUGUGAAAGCCCCGGGCUCAACCUGGGAACGGCAUCCGGAACUGUCAGGCUAGAGUGCAGGAGAGGAAGGUAGAAUUCCCGGUGUAGCGGUGAAAUGCGUAGAGAUCGGGAGGAAUACCAGUGGCGAAGGCGGCCUUCUGGACUGACACUGACGCUGAGGUGCGAAAGCGUGGGUAGCAAACAGGAUUAAUACCCCGGUAGUC
Molecule: ribosomal RNA, 464 nt
Filed under: Vreelandella stevensii
Lineage: Bacteria; Pseudomonadati; Pseudomonadota; Gammaproteobacteria; Oceanospirillales; Halomonadaceae
Description: partial 16S ribosomal RNA
Rfam family: Bacterial small subunit ribosomal RNA
Source: RNAcentral